RNAcentral lists this transfer RNA (72 nucleotides) under Perkinsus olseni. RNAcentral describes it as "tRNA-Pro". It matches the Rfam family "tRNA". Rfam says of the family: Transfer RNA (tRNA) molecules are approximately 80 nucleotides in length. Their secondary structure includes four short double-helical elements and three loops (D, anti-codon, and T loops). The record is from RNAcentral. Lineage: Eukaryota; Perkinsozoa; Perkinsida; Perkinsidae.
GGCUGUGUGGUCUAGUGGUAUGAUUCUCGCUUUGGGUGCGUGAAGUCUCGAGUUCGAUUCUCAACUCAGCCC